Molecule: ribosomal RNA, 253 nt
Filed under: uncultured bacterium
Lineage: Bacteria
Description: partial 16S ribosomal RNA
Rfam family: Bacterial small subunit ribosomal RNA
Source: RNAcentral
UACGUAGGAAGCGAGCGUUGUUCGGAGUUACUGGGCGUAAAGCGUGCGCAGGCGGUUUUGUAAGCCAGAUGUGAAAUCCCCGGGCUUAACCUGGGAAUGGCAUUUGGGACUGCAAGGCUGGAGUGCGGCAGAGGAGACUGGAAUUCCUGGUGUAGCAGUGAAAUGCGUAGAUAUGCGGAGGAACACCGAUGGCGAAGGCAAUCCCCUGGGCCUGCACUGACGCUCAUGCACGAAGGCGUGGGGAGCAAACAGG